UACAGAGGCCCCAAGCGUUACCCGGAAUCAUUGGGCGUAAAGGGUGUCAAGGCGGUUAUGUUAGUCGUUCGUUAAAUCCAGGGGCUCAACUUCUGGUCUGCGAGCGAAACGGCAUAACUUGAGGUUGGGAGAGGUGCGUGGAACUCACGGUGUAGGGGUGAAAUCCGUUGAUAUCGUGAGGAACACCAAAGGCGAAGGCAGCGCACUGGCCCAAAUCUGACGCUCACACACGAAAGCCAGGGUAGCGAACGGG
RNAcentral lists this ribosomal RNA (253 nucleotides) under uncultured bacterium. Its description in RNAcentral is "partial 16S ribosomal RNA". It matches the Rfam family "Bacterial small subunit ribosomal RNA", at positions 524 to 776 of the family's 1533-position model. The record is from RNAcentral.